UGACCGUGUGAGCCAAGCACUGCAUGCGGACCUGUAUCGCGGUAGCGCGUUCCCAGGACUCCCGAUAACAGCACAAUUUUAACGUGCCUGGGACAGACCCGGAGGGCGACCAGCCUUGAGCCACCUGCACCAAGGCAGCUCCUGACAAAAGUGGGCAGAGAGUAUCGCCUUGGAGAAUGAGGGCUGUUGGAAGGGACAUGAGAAGACACCCAGCAGCGACACGGAGACACACCCUCAGCCCUGUAUCCUCCAGACCGGAUCUAGGGAGCAUCCCCAGGGUGGUCACCCUGGCCGCAGCAUCACGGACUUCCACCCACUCCGCACCUAGGGUAACAGCCACGCGUGUCCCCGACAUCCCAGGGUCCCGUCGUGGAGACUGAGCAGGAACAGCCAUGAGGAGGUGACCGUGAGAAAACUUACAUACACAUGCUCACGCACAGACAUGCGCAUAUACUGGCCAAGUGCAUGCAAUCCCCUCAAAGUCCAGAAGGGGCAUCAGAGCCCCAGGGAAUGACGUCACAGACGUUAGGGAUCCUUGUGGGAGCCAGAUACCAAACUUCAGGUCAGAAGCAAAAACAUAUGUUUUUAAAUCCUGCGCAUUGCCACCAUUCCCAGUCAGACCCACUAAAUUUUUUUAAGUACA
Long non-coding RNA from Rattus rattus (black rat), 643 nucleotides. RefSeq lists it as uncharacterized. NCBI's taxonomy places the organism in Eukaryota, Metazoa, Chordata, Mammalia, Rodentia, Muridae. The record is from RefSeq and is a predicted model, not a curated record. The transcript is spliced from 2 exons.